RNAcentral lists this ribosomal RNA (897 nucleotides) under uncultured organism. RNAcentral's name for it is "bacterial SSU rRNA". It matches the Rfam family "Bacterial small subunit ribosomal RNA", at positions 30 to 941 of the family's 1533-position model. The record is from RNAcentral.
UGAACGCUAGCGGCAUGGAUAAGGCAUGCAAGUCGAGCGGUGAACCCGCCUUCGGGCGGGGGAUCAGCGGCGAACGGGUGAGUAACGCGUGAGCAACCUGCCCCCGACACCGGGAUAGCCUUGGGAAACCGGGGUUAAUAUCGGAUGCUGUGCAACGGCGUAUGCUGUUGUAUGAAAGAUUGAGUUCGGUCGGGGAGGGGCUCGCGUCCCAUUAGCUUGUUGGCGGGGUAACGGCCCACCAAGGCUAAGAUGGGUAGCUGGUCUGAGAGGAUGGUCAGCCACACUGGGACUGAGACACGGCCCAGACUCCUGCGGGAGGCUGCAGUCGAGAAUAUUCGGCAAUGGGCGCAAGCCUGACCGAGUGAUGCCGCGUGGGGGAUGAAGGCCUUCGGGUUGUAAACCCCUGUCACCAGGGACGAAAUUUGACGGUACCUGGAGAGGAAGCACCGGCUAACUACGUGCCAGCAGCCGCGGUAACACGUAGGGUGCGAGCGUUAUCCGGAAUUACUGGGCGUAAAGGGUCCGUAGGGGGUCUGCCAAGUCUGGUGUGAAAGCCCGUGGCUCAACCACGGAAGUGCAUUGGAAACUGGUGGGCUGGAGUGCACGAGGGGAAAGCGGAAUUCCCGGUGUAGCGGUGGAAUGCGUAGAUAUCGGGAAGAACACCUGCGGCGAAAGCGGCUUUCUGGCGUGACACUGACCCUGAGGGACGAAAGCGUGGGUAGCGAACGGGAUUAGAUACCCCGGUAGUCCACGCCGUAAACGUUGUGCGCUCGAUAUGGACGGCAUCCAGUGUCGCCCGUGUCCAAGCUAACGCGUUAAGCGCACCGNCUGGGGACUACGGCCGCAAGGCUAAAACUCAAAGGAAUUGACGGGGGCCCGCACAACCGGUGGAGCAUG